GCUCAAAUUUGAAAUCUUAAAGGGUUUCCCUUUACGAAUUGUAGUUUAAAGAAGUGUUUUCUGUUGAGGUUUUGGUAAAAGUUCUUUGGAAUAGGACAUCAUAGAGGGUGAGAAUCCCGUAUUUGACCUUUACUUUCAACUUUGUGAUACACUUUCAAAGAGUCGGAUUGUUUGGGAAUGCAGUCCAAAAUGGGUGGUAAAUUUCAUCUAAGGCUAAAUAUUGGCGAGAGACCGAUAGCGAACAAGUACCGUGAGGGAAAGAUGAAAAGAACUUUGAAAAGAGAGUUAAACAGCACGUGAAAUUGUCAAAAGGGAAGCGUUUGACACCAGUGUUGUUUUUCUGAAAAUCAAUUAAAGAACUGUUUAUGCUAAGUUGUUUAGACUUUAUCAGCUAACUGUUUAGUUUUGAGCUUUUCUUUAAUGCACUUUUCAGUUAACAAG
RNAcentral lists this ribosomal RNA (441 nucleotides) under uncultured Neocallimastigomycetes. RNAcentral's name for it is "LSU rRNA". It matches the Rfam family "Eukaryotic large subunit ribosomal RNA", at positions 107 to 542 of the family's 3401-position model. The record is from RNAcentral. Lineage: Eukaryota; Fungi; Neocallimastigomycota; Neocallimastigomycetes.